UACGUAGGGUGCAAGCGUUGUCCGGAAUUACUGGGCGUAAAGAGCUCGUAUGUGGUUUGUCGCGUCGUCUGUGAAAUCCCGGGGCUUAACUUCGGGCGUGCAGGCGAUACGGGCAAUACUUGAGUGCUGUAGGGGAGACUGGAAUUCCUGGUGUAGCGGUGAAAUGCGCAGAUAUCAGGAGGAACACCAAUGGCGAAGGCAGGUCUCUGGGCAGUUACUGACGCUGAGGAGCGAAAGCAUGGGUAGCGAACAGGAUUA
RNAcentral lists this ribosomal RNA (258 nucleotides) under uncultured prokaryote. Its description in RNAcentral is "partial 16S ribosomal RNA". It matches the Rfam family "Bacterial small subunit ribosomal RNA", at positions 524 to 780 of the family's 1533-position model. The record is from RNAcentral.